GCUGGCGGCACGCCUAAUACAUGCAAGUCGAACGGAGUAGCAAUACUUAGUGGCAGACGGGUGAGUAACAUGUGGGUAUCUUCCCUUUGGUGAGGAAUAACACGAGGAAACUUGUGCUAAUACCUCAUAAGUCUUUACGGAGAAAGCUUUAUGCGCCAUUGGAUGAGCCCGCACUUGAUUAGUUUGUUGGUGGGGUAAAGGCCUACCAAGACUGUGAUCAAUAGCUGAUUUGAGAGGAUGAUCAGCCACAUUGGGACUGAGACACGGCCCAAACUCCUACGGGAGGCAGCAGUAGGGAAUCUUGCACAAUGGAGGAAACUCUGAUGCAGCGAUGCCGCGUGAGUGAAGAAGGCCUUUGGGUUGUAAAGCUCUUUCGUCGGGGAAGAAAAUGACUGUACCCGAAUAAGAAGGUCCGGCUAACUUCGUGCCAGCAGCCGCGGUAAUACGAAGGGACCUAGCGUAGUUCGGAAUUACUGGGCUUAAAGAGUUCGUAGGUGGUUAAAAAAGUUGGUGGUGAAAGCCCAGAGCUUAACUCUGGAACUGCCAUCAAAACUUUUUAGCUAGAGUAUGAUAGAGGAAAGCAGAAUUUCUAGUGUAGAGGUGAAAUUCGUAGAUAUUAGAAAGAAUACCAAUUGCGAAGGCAGCUUUCUGGAUCAUUACUGACACUGAGGAACGAAAGCAUGGGUAGCGAAGAGGAUUAGAUACCCUCGUAGUCCAUGCCGUAAACGAUGUGUGUUAGAUGUUGGAAAUUUAUUUUCAGUAUCGCAGCGAAAGCGAUAAACACACCGCCUGGGGAGUACGACCGC
Molecule: ribosomal RNA, 806 nt
Filed under: uncultured Pelagibacteraceae bacterium
Lineage: Bacteria; Pseudomonadati; Pseudomonadota; Alphaproteobacteria; Candidatus Pelagibacterales; Candidatus Pelagibacteraceae
Description: bacterial SSU rRNA
Rfam family: Bacterial small subunit ribosomal RNA
Source: RNAcentral